UGUUCGUUAUUUAGGGCGCAUGGUGGAUGCCUUGGCAUGCUGAGCCGAUGAAGGACGUGUAAGGCUGCGUUAAGCCUCGGGGAGUUGUCAAUAAAGCGUUGAUCCGAGGAUGUCCGAAUGGGGAAACCUGGCACCUGUUAUGGGGUGUUACCCUUCAGUGAAUUCAUAGCUGUUGUGGGGGUUUACGCGGGGAAGUGAAACAUCUCAGUACCCGUAGGAGAAGAAAAUAAAAUAUGAUUCUGCUAGUAGUGGCGAACGAACGUGGAUGAGGCUAAACCGUGUGCAUGUGAUACUUGGUAGGGGUUGUGUGUGCGGUGUUGUGGGCCCCAAUGGACGGUGACUACCAUCAUCGUGCUUGUGUGUUGUUGUUAGGUGAAGUGGUGUGGAAACGCCUACCGUAGAGGGUGAUAGUCCCGUAGUUGAAGGCUGCAAUGCAUGGGUUGUUGGGUUGCCCGAGUAGCAGCGGGCUCGUGGAAUCUGCUGUGAAUCUGCCGGGACCACCCGGUAAGCCUAAAUACUCAGUGUGACCGAUAGUGUAUGAGUACCGUGAGGGAAUGGUGAAAAGUACCCCGGGAGGGGAGUGAAAUAGUUCCUGAAACCAUGUGCUUACAAUCCGUCAGAGCACUUUUUGUUGUGUGAUGGCGUGCCUUUUGAAGAAUGAGCCUGCGAGUCAGCGGCAUGUCGCGAGGUUAACCCGUGUGGGGUAGCCGUAGGGAAACCGAAUCCUAAUGGGGUGUUUUAGUGGCGUGUCCUGGACCCGAAGCGGGGUGAUCUACCCAUGGCCAGUGUGAAGCAGUAGUAAGAUGCUGUGGAGGCGCGAACCCACGUAGGUUGAAAACUGCGGGGAUGAGCUGUGGGUAGGGGUGAAAGGCCAAUCAAACUCCGUGAUAGCUGGUUCUCCCCGAAAUGCAUUUAGGUGCAGCGUCGCAUGUAGCUUGGUGGAGGUAGAGCUACUGGUUGGUUGAGCGGGACUACAAUCUUAGCAAUGUCAGCCAAACUCCGAAUGCCAUCAAUUGUGUUGUGCGGCAGUGAGACUGUGGGGGAUAAGCUUCAUAGUCGAGAGGGAAACAGCCCAGAUCGCCGGUUAAGGCCCCUAAGGGUGUGCUAAGUGGAAAAGGAUGUGGGAUCGCGAAGACAGCCAGGAGGUUGGCUUAGAAGCAGCCAUCCUUGAAAGAGUGCGUAAUAGCUCACUGGUCGAGUGGUCCUGCGCCGACAAUGUAGUGGGGCUCAAGCACACCGCCGAAGCCGCGGCAAACUUUUUU
RNAcentral lists this ribosomal RNA (1262 nucleotides) under Corynebacterium sp. HMSC072D12. RNAcentral's name for it is "bacterial LSU rRNA". It matches the Rfam family "Bacterial large subunit ribosomal RNA", at positions 1 to 1216 of the family's 2925-position model. Lineage: Bacteria; Bacillati; Actinomycetota; Actinomycetes; Mycobacteriales; Corynebacteriaceae. The record is from RNAcentral.